UAAUGGUUCUUCGAUGGAAAUUUAAAGCCGAGGUGGAUUAGAAUGAAUAGAAGUACCUGCGUACAAUAAAAGAGAAAAAUGUCUCCAUUCUGCUAAGAGAGAGACAGAUAAAAACCUACGGGUUCAUUGACCCCUAGAAAUAAGCGCAAGCUUUAAUAGGGUCUAACAUUUAAGCAUAGGCGAAUCCUCAAGAAGUUCCUAAGAGCCUGAGGACUUUUAUUUUAAAGGCAAGAAAACUAUGGGUUCUUGAACGAUCGGGUGAAAAGUGAAGGCAGAAGAUAAAAUUAUACUCUAUAAUCUGAACUGAAAUGUAGAAUUGGGUUGAAAGGGUUAAAGCCUUCAUGUGACCAUUAAAAUACCCUAAAAAAACAGUACUGCAAAAAACAGUACUGCACACUAAAGGAUGUCCAAUGUUAUUCAAGCCUGCGCAGACCUGAUUUUAAAUACUUGAGCAGCAUGUAUUAGGCACAAUGGACUUGACCACCUUAUAAUCCCCAGGUUUUCAAUCGAUAGAACCGAUAAUUGAUAUUAAAGCCGCAUUGUCACCAGUUUACUUCCAGUCGAUUACAUUAUAAUCUCCGAUGAUUUUUAACGGAAAACACGAAAAAUAUUUCAAAAUAUUAAAAGCAGUGUGUAUAUUGCAAGUUUCUUCGAGGAUGUGAUUGAUAAUUUAGAGCCGAUGGCAUGUUAAAUAUCUCGGAUUCUAAUAGAUUCUUUUGUCUUUUAACGGUUGAGGUUUCCGUCGGACCUUCGGAAGUGAACUGGUGACAUUGCGGCUUUAAUUGACUCUAAUCAAUAAAAUUAACUAAUUUUAUCCGCAUUCGAUAAUAAUCGUUAGCAAAAAAAUUGUGAGGUCAAUGGAUAAUUAUGAUUUUUCGAUUAACCUGAUCGAUUUAUAUCGAUUUAUCGGUUAAAUUGGAAAAAAUAAAAGACAAUUCUGAGAGAUUAAACAAACGUUUUUUAAUCCAAAGUGCAAACAAAACGGGAAAAAUAAGGAACCAAGACCAAUUAGUAGUAGCCACAGUAGUUAUUGCCACAGCCGUCCAGAAUAAUGUUUAUGGAUGCCACACAAUUAACUUGUAGUAGUCCGUAAAUACCAACAGGGAAUCCAGGGUACAUAUUGUAUACUACACUACUUGAUUAUAUCGAUGUAAUAGAUAUAAUCGAUUGACUAAUUGGGAAGUAUUGUGUGAGUAUCAAUUAUUGAUUUUCUGAUCCAAUCGAUAUCAAUCAAUUAAGAUUAUCAAUUGAUUUUGAUUUCUCGAUUGGUUUUCCGACAUUGAUUUUUAUCGAUUGAACACACUGGGGUAUAAGGUACUUCAUACUUGCCAAACUUGAAAGCUAAAGACAAGAAAUUCUCAAUGUACUUUCCUGGGAGAUUACGGUAAAUGUAUUGGAAGUUUCCAUUUUUUGCCGGGAGAUGAAGGAUAAAAACCGAAAGUCUCCUGCAAAAACCGGGAAAGUUGGCAGGUAUGGUUCUUCCAUGCCAUAAAUAACUCCUAAUAAGCAUAUAAUAUCUGGCAUUAAAUAAACUGCAAUGCAUCAA
This is a long non-coding RNA of Nematostella vectensis (starlet sea anemone), 1546 nucleotides long. RefSeq lists it as uncharacterized. The record is from RefSeq and is a predicted model, not a curated record. Lineage: Eukaryota; Metazoa; Cnidaria; Anthozoa; Actiniaria; Edwardsiidae. The transcript has 2 exons.